RNAcentral lists this ribosomal RNA (265 nucleotides) under uncultured bacterium. Its description in RNAcentral is "partial 16S ribosomal RNA". It matches the Rfam family "Bacterial small subunit ribosomal RNA", at positions 793 to 1055 of the family's 1533-position model. The record is from RNAcentral.
GUCCACGCUGUAAACGAUGGGCACUAGGUGUCGCGGGUAUUGACCCCUGCGGUGCCGCAGCUAACGCAUUAAGUGCCCCGCCUGGGGACUACGGCCGCAAGGCUAAAACUCAAAGGAAUUGACGGGGGCCCGCACAAGCGGUGGAGCAUGUGGUUCAAUUCGACGCAACGCGAAGAACCUUACCCGGGCUAGACAACAGAGGACCGUCUUAGAAAUAAGGCCUUUCCUUCGGGAACCUCUGGUUCAGGUGCUGCAUGGCUGUCGU